AAAUAGUUAGUUUAAUCAAAAUAUACAUUUGUCGAAUGUAAGAAACAAACAGGACGGAAGUACUAUUU
Molecule: transfer RNA, 68 nt
Filed under: Anaticola crassicornis (slender duck louse)
Lineage: Eukaryota; Metazoa; Arthropoda; Insecta; Psocodea; Philopteridae
Description: tRNA-Asp
Source: RNAcentral